CCUACGGGGGGCAGCAGUGGGGAAUAUUGCACAAUGAGGGAAACCCUGAUGCAGCGACGCCGCGUGAGUGAUGAAGUAUUUCGGUAUGUAAAGCUCUAUCAGCAGGGAAGAAAAUGACGGUACCUGAUUAAGAAGACCCGGCUAACUACGUGCCAGCAGCCGGGGUAAUACGUAGGGGGGAAGCGUUAUCCGGAUUUACUGGGGGGAAAGGGAGCGUAGACGGUAGCGCAAGUCUGGUGGGAAAUGCCGGGGGUUAACCCCGGGACUGCUUUGGAAACUGUGCAGCUAGAGUGAAGGAGAGGUAAGUGGAAUUCCUAGUGUAGCGGUGAAAUGCGUAGAUAUUAGGAAGAACACCAGUGGCGAAGGCGGCUUACUGGACUGUAACUGACGUUGAGGCUCGAAAGCGUGGGGAGCAAACAGGAUUAGAUACCCUAGUAGUC
RNAcentral lists this ribosomal RNA (440 nucleotides) under uncultured bacterium. RNAcentral's name for it is "partial 16S ribosomal RNA". It matches the Rfam family "Bacterial small subunit ribosomal RNA", at positions 338 to 795 of the family's 1533-position model. The record is from RNAcentral.